This is a long non-coding RNA of Paramacrobiotus metropolitanus, 1073 nucleotides long. RefSeq lists it as uncharacterized. The record is from RefSeq and is a predicted model, not a curated record. Lineage: Eukaryota; Metazoa; Tardigrada; Eutardigrada; Parachela; Macrobiotidae. The transcript is spliced from 5 exons.
AGUUCAUAAAUCAGUUCACAGCGAAGAACCAUUUUUCUACAUUUGCUUAUUAGUUUGUGCGUUUGUCCGGCUCUUGAUAUAACUUCAGACCUUUGCAGGUUGUGGCAUCCUCCUGAAUAAAGUAUUUGCAGACGUAUUAGGAAGUCCGGAUCUUUCGCUUUUUCUGUUCUUCAGAUUAUCGUGCGAGAAUGGCGGGGAACGGUAACGAUUCGGGAAUGGAGGAGAACGGUUUGCCUCAACUUUGCUAUGGACGCUGAUUUGGCCAUAUUUUAAUCCGUCUUCGUGAUCGAGUGCGCCGGGUAGUUUGCUGCCCUGAUCGAAAGGAAAACACUAUUAUCCACUUCUUCACAUUUUCCAGUGUCACCGUGAGCGGAACGGCUCACUAAAUGACUUCGCCGACGACUACUUGCUGAACCGAUUAUCAUACUCGAUUGGUCCUGAAUCUAAAUACAACGCUAACGACAUCAUUGUUUAACUAUGCUUCUAAAAUGCCGAUACGAGGUUGCCGUCCUCCAGCAUCAUGCGCCAGUAAUCGGCGGCGACCAGCCAGGGCUGCAGCAACUGCAGGCUGACCAUCAACUGCAGGAGCUGCAGCAGGAAGUCGAUCGCCUGCAGGCCGAAGUGAACGCGCUGCGCGCGCAAAAGCACGCCCGGGAAUUGGCCCUCUUUGGGCUGGGGUUGGCUGCGGUGGCUCUGUUCGGCUUCGCGUUUUCCAUGCGCUACCGUGGCUGAUGAAGUGAUGGGAUUAUGAUCCAGCGCAUUUGUGGAUUAAUGGUUUUUUUAUUGAUAUUUUAACUUAGUUAUUGAGUUAAGAAAAUUAAUUUACUUAAUAUUCGGCUGUUAGGUACUACUGUACUUAAACCAUGGGCUCUAGCUCGUGUACGCGCACCUUUCCAUUGAUUUUUUUUCAAGCUUUCCUUGUGUCUGAGUCCUGAGGAGCACUGGACGCUGUGGACAGUAAUGACGUAAUCGAACGAAAAAAAUGCUCCAGUUGAAGAUCUUAAGAAUGUGAAUUUGUACUUUUGUUGCGGUACCUUUCGUCUUAAUAACAAUAAAUUCAGAUACUGAAUGUA